Molecule: ribosomal RNA, 253 nt
Filed under: uncultured bacterium
Lineage: Bacteria
Description: partial 16S ribosomal RNA
Rfam family: Bacterial small subunit ribosomal RNA
Source: RNAcentral
UACGGAGGGUGCGAGCGUUGUCCGGAAUCACUGGGCGUAAAGGGCGCGUAGGCGGCGCGGUAAGUCGGGUGUGAAAUCUCGGGGCUUAACUCCGAAACUGCAUUCGAUACUGCCGUGCUUGAGGACUGGAGAGGAGACUGGAAUUUACGGUGUAGCGGUGAAAUGCGUAGAUAUCGUAAGGAAGACCAGUGGCGAAGGCGGGUCUCUGGACAGUUCCUGACGCUGAGGCACGAAGGCCAGGGGAGCAAACGGG